Long non-coding RNA from Stomoxys calcitrans (stable fly), 357 nucleotides. RefSeq lists it as uncharacterized. The transcript is spliced from 3 exons. NCBI's taxonomy places the organism in Eukaryota, Metazoa, Arthropoda, Insecta, Diptera, Muscidae. The record is from RefSeq and is a predicted model, not a curated record.
CGUUUGUGGCCCACAACUACAUUCAUUAGAUAUACAUAUAUCCCAUUGACAAAUGAUUUUAUAAUGUGUCCCUCUUGUGCACUCACCUGUACAUUGGCUAUGUGAUCCACAUAAUUUUGUGUGCCGUUUGCUUUUUUGUUUGCUUGACGUUUACGUGGCGGAAUAAAAACUGGGCGUUCCUUUGCCAUAUUAUUUGUGGUGGCAUCGUUGGCCAUUUCGUCGGCUACCAUUUUCCUCGUUUAGCAUAAAACCCUUAUGUCUAGUCUGUUUUUCAUAUAAAUUUAGGUAUUCUUUAAAUUGCGAAGACUUGAAUUGGUAAAUGCAUUUGAACUUAAAUUAGGACGUUUUCUUGGUUUU